This 542-nucleotide ribosomal RNA is filed under the name uncultured bacterium. Its description in RNAcentral is "bacterial SSU rRNA". It matches the Rfam family "Bacterial small subunit ribosomal RNA", at positions 355 to 912 of the family's 1533-position model. The record is from RNAcentral.
UGGGGAAUCUUGGACAAUGGGGGCAACCCUGAUCCAGCCAUGCCGCGUGAGUGAUGAAGGCCUUAGGGUCGUAAAGCUCUUUCGCCUGUGAAGAUAAUGACGGUAGCAGGUAAAGAAACCCCGGCUAACUCCGUGCCAGCAGCCGCGGUAAUACGGAGGGGGUUAGCGUUGUUCGGAAUUACUGGGCGUAAAGCGCACGUAGGCGGACCAGAAAGUUGGGGGUGAAAUCCCGGGGGCUCAACCCCGGAACUGCCUCCAAAACUAUUGGUCUAGAGUUCGAGAGAGGUGAGUGGAAUUCCAAGUGUAGAGGUGAAAUUCGUAGAUAUUUGGAGGAACACCAGUGGCGAAGGCGGCUCACUGGCUCGAUACUGACGCUGAGGUGCGAAAGUGUGGGGAGCAAACAGGAUUAGAUACCCCUGGUAGUCCACACCGUAAAACGAUGAAUGCCAGUCGUCGGGUAGCAUGCUAUUCGGUGACACACCUAACGGAUUAAGCAUUCCGCCUGGGGAGUACGGUCGCAAGAUUAAAACUCAAAUGAAUUG